GACGAACGCUGGCGGCGUGCCUAAUACAUGCAAGUAGAACGCUGAAGGAGGAGCUUGCUUCUCUGGAUGAGUUGCGAACGGGUGAGUAACGCGUAGGUAACCUGCCUGGAAGCGGGGGAUAACUAUUGGAAACGAUAGCUAAUACCGCAUAAUAGUAGAUGUUGCAUGACAUUUACUUAAAAGGUGCAAUUGCAUCACUACCAGAUGGACCUGCGUUGUAUUAGCUAGUUGGUGGGGUAACGGCUCACCAAGGCGACGAUACAUAGCCGACCUGAGAGGGGGAUCGGCCACACUGGGACUGAGACACGGCCCAGACUCCUACGGGAGGCAGCAGUAGGGAAUCUUCGGCAAUGGACGAAAGUCUGACCGAGCAACGCCGCGUGAGUGAAGAAGGUUUUCGGAUCGUAAAGCUCUGUUGUAAGAGAAGAACGAGUGUGAGAGUGGAAAGUUCACACUGUGACGGUAUCUUACCAGAAAGGGACGGCUAACUACGUG
This 495-nucleotide ribosomal RNA is filed under the name uncultured bacterium. RNAcentral's name for it is "partial 16S ribosomal RNA". It matches the Rfam family "Bacterial small subunit ribosomal RNA", at positions 28 to 507 of the family's 1533-position model. The record is from RNAcentral.